CUGUCGGGAAUGUGCGUGAGGGAAUCGCUCUGCCCGAAAAGUGUCCAUAACUUAAUAGAAGACGGUCCAAAAGCGUCUAAGACGGUCGGAAUUCGCGGUCAGGUUUUUUGAGUUGGAUAUGAUUUACUGAAGAUUUGGUGUUGGAAGUCGACGUUGCCGUCACCAGUAGCCAACUUCAUAGAAGAGACCAGCAGCAGAUAGCCACGAGGUGGCUUCCUGCUGGAGAAGAGGAUCCAGAGAACCAGAUGGCGAGCCAGAGCUGAUGAACAGCGGAUGAAUUACCUACCUUCUUAACUGUGGUGUGGUAGGACCACGAAGUACACACAAAUUAAAGGGCCCCAACGUAAACAAAUUGAGCUCAAAGAAGAAGGAAAUAAACAACAGAUUUAACAUAACAACCACAGAGGACACUUUCUUUUAUUUUUUUAUAUUAUUCUUGUGCGCACUUUAUUAUUUUUCUUGUUAAUUCAAUUGUAUUCUAUUGUCAUAUUGUUCUAUGAGUUCUAUUGAGUAUUAUAAUAAUACAGUGUUGAGAACUCAAUUUUGUGUGAGUGUGGUUUAUAUUGAUGUUUCUUCCUGGGCUCCAUGAGUGACUUCCUGGAAUUCUGAUAACUAGUCCAAAUAGAUCUAAUUGUGAAUAUUAAUAAUACUUGCAACCUCACUGUUAAAGGAGGGGUUACAUAAACUUGGCGAGCUAGCCAGGAGCCCGGUAGGUGACACCAAUAUUGCUAUUGUGCAACAUGGAUUUUAUCCAGAGGUCUGGUGUAAAAUUCCCCAAGUGUGGUGCCAUUCAGCGCACUGUUUUGGUUGAUGAUGAGUCCUCUGAAUUUCAUAAAAACCUGAUCGUCGAAUACUCCAGUGGCUCAGCUGUAGAAGCUUUGGAGUCACUAUUACCCUAUAGACACACACAAAAGAUGAUCCCAAUGUUGUGUAUAAUGUUCAGACCUUACGUAGUGUUUACACUUCCAAGCUAGGUAGCAGUGCUACUAAAACCUACCUAACAGAGCUAAAAGAGCUAGCAAAGCUUAGCGGCAAUGACUAUGAAGUGGUUUUAAGAGAAAUGAUGACACAGAUUAGUAAUGAUGUUGAAAGCAUGCAAUCUGCUGAUGAUCCGUCACUGUUAGCACUCAGUGAGACCCCUGUGGAGUCCCCACAGCCCACCAGUCCUUUCCAGGUCCCCCUCAGAAUGGCAAUGACGUAAACGUCACUGCAGCAGUACCAGUCAAUGAUGAGAGACGAGUUCCAUCCCUCUCUGUAAGUGAUGUCAAUCCACCAGAGGUUCAGAAAGUUGUGGUUGAACACAUUGUGAGGAGGGAGGACACAGGUUCUUACUUUUCAUCCCCUGUCCGACUUCGUUUAUUUUCUGGGAAAAUCCCCAGGCAUAAUUGCGAAGCAGAUUAUGACACUUGGUGCUUGCACAUUGAACUUCUCUUGAAUGAUCACAGCAUAUCUCCUCUUCACGUGUCCCGAAGGAUCCUAGAGAGUUUGCUUUCACAAGCAGCAGAUGUGGUUAGGGCUCUGUCCAAAUUCACUGCCUUCUGCCUACCUGCAACUGCUGGAUUCGGCUUUUGGUGCAGCUGAGGAUGGAGAAGAGCUGUUUGCUCAAUUUAUGAAUACCCUCCAGGAUCCGGGCGAGAAGGCACGCUGCCCUCGGUUGAGUUUCCCUCAACUAGCGAAAUGAAGUAAAUGCCAGUGAGUAAAAGACUGACCAAUAUUCUUCCUUGUCCAGCCUCUUGUUUCUAUGCUGCCUCUGCCAUGACAUCCACUCAAUGAAUAGUUUCCCCCUGUGAAGACAAGUGGGGACAUUAUUUAAAGGUUGAGCUUUACAUUGGUGUACAUUGAAAAGGCUUUUGUUUUUAAUGUAGCAGACAGAGUUGCCCUUCUAGUUUGCAUGGUUUACAAUGACAAUAAAUACAUGUUUUGUGGCUAAAUAUGA
Molecule: long non-coding RNA, 1936 nt
Organism: Solea senegalensis (Senegalese sole)
Lineage: Eukaryota; Metazoa; Chordata; Actinopteri; Pleuronectiformes; Soleidae
Exons: 2
Source: RefSeq, a predicted model, not a curated record